This 1456-nucleotide ribosomal RNA is filed under the name uncultured marine bacterium. Its description in RNAcentral is "16S ribosomal RNA". It matches the Rfam family "Bacterial small subunit ribosomal RNA". The record is from RNAcentral.
GAUGAACGCUGGCGGCGUGCUUAACACAUGCAAGUCGAACGAACCUUCGGGUUAGUGGCGGACGGGUGAGUAACGCGUGGGAAUCUGCCCUCAGGAGGGGGAUAACGGUUGGAAACGGCCGCUAAUACCCCAUAUGCCGAGAGGUGAAAUGAAUUUCGCCUGAGGAUGAGCCCGCGUCUGAUUAGCUAGUUGGUGAGGUAAGAGCUCACCAAGGCAUCGAUCAGUAGCUGGUCUGAGAGGAUGAUCAGCCACACUGGGACUGAGACACGGCCCAGACUCCUACGGGAGGCAGCAGUGGGGAAUUUUCCGCAAUGGGCGAAAGCCUGACGGAGCAACGCCGCGUGAGGGAUGAAGGCCUCUGGGCUGUAAACCUCUUUUAUCAAGGAAGAAGAUCUGACGGCACUUGAUGAAUAAGCCACGGCUAAUUCCGUGCCAGCAGCCGCGGUAAUACGGGAGUGGCAAGCGUUAUCCGGAAUUAUUGGGCGUAAAGCGUCCGCAGGCGGCCCUACAAGUCUGCUGUUAAAAAGUGGAGCUUAACUCCAUCAUGGCAGUGGAAACUGUUGGGCUUGAGUGUGGUAGGGGCAGAGGGAAUUCCCGGUGUAGCGGUGAAAUGCGUAGAUAUCGGGAAGAACACCAGUGGCGAAGGCGCUCUGCUGGGCCAUCACUGACGCUCAUGGACGAAAGCCAGGGGAGCGAAAGGGAUUAGAUACCCCUGUAGUCCUGGCCGUAAACGAUGAACACUAGGUGUCGGGGGAAUCGACCCCUCCGGUGUCGUAGCCAACGCGUUAAGUGUUCCGCCUGGGGAGUACGCACGCAAGUGUGAAACUCAAAGGAAUUGACGGGGGCCCGCACAAGCGGUGGAGUAUGUGGUUUAAUUCGAUGCAACGCGAAGAACCUUACCAGGGUUUGACAUCCUGCGAAUCUCUUGGAAACUUGAGAGUGCCUUCGGGAGCGCAGUGACAGGUGGUGCAUGGCUGUCGUCAGCUCGUGUCGUGAGAUGUUGGGUUAAGUCCCGCAACGAGCGCAACCCACGUCUUUAGUUGCCAGCAUUUAGUUGGGCACUCUAGAGAGACCGCCGGUGAUAAACCGGAGGAAGGUGUGGAUGACGUCAAGUCAUCAUGCCCCUUACAUCCUGGGCUACACACGUACUACAAUGCUACGGACAAAGGGCAGCAAGUUCGCGAGGACAAGCAAAUCCCAUAAACCGUGGCUCAGUUCAGAUCGUAGGCUGCAACUCGCCUACGUGAAGGAGGAAUCGCUAGUAAUCGCAGGUCAGCAUACUGCGGUGAAUACGUUCCCGGGCCUUGUACACACCGCCCGUCACACCAUGGAAGUUGGCCACGCCCGAAGCCGUUACUCCAACCCUUGUGGAGGAGGACGUCGAAGGUGGGGCUGAUGACUGGGGUGAAGUCGUAACAAGGUAGCCGUACCGGAAGGUGCGGCUGGAUCACCUCCU